Molecule: unclassified non-coding RNA, 313 nt
Filed under: Hevea brasiliensis (rubber tree)
Lineage: Eukaryota; Viridiplantae; Streptophyta; Magnoliopsida; Malpighiales; Euphorbiaceae
Source: RNAcentral
CGAAGUACGAUCCAGGAACUGCAAAAGCAAGUAGCUCUGCUAGAAAGUCAGAUAUCAAACUCUGAUUUCAAGAUUGAGAGAUGGGAAAGUGAGUUAGAAAUGAAUAGAGAAAAGCUUGAGGCGUCGGAGGAAGAAGUUGCCAAGUUAAAGCAUGAUUGUUCAAAAGUGAUCAACGACAACACUUGCUAUUUGGCUGAUCAGCUUGAAUUAACUCAGGAAGAAUUAAUCUUGCUAAAGGGCAAGCUUGAGUCUGAGGAAAGACUUACGUCAGAACUACAUGAGGGCAUAAUGAGGUACAAAGCUGACAUAUCAG